GGGUCAGUAGGUUGGUCGUGCCACCGGUACGUACUGGUCUCACUGACUCCUCCUUCCUGAAGAACCGUAAUGCCAUUAAUUUGGUGUUGCGGGGAAACAGGACUGUUACUUUGAAAAAAUUAGAGUGUUUAAAGCAAGCUAACGCUUGAAUACAUUAGCAUGGAAUAACGAAAUAGGACGAUCGAUCCUAUUUUGUUGGUUUCUAGGAUUGACGUA
RNAcentral lists this ribosomal RNA (216 nucleotides) under Glomeromycotina sp. RNAcentral describes it as "partial small subunit ribosomal RNA". The stretch from base 75 to 216 matches the Rfam family "Eukaryotic small subunit ribosomal RNA", at positions 721 to 864 of the family's 1831-position model. Lineage: Eukaryota; Fungi; Glomeromycota. The record is from RNAcentral.